RNAcentral lists this ribosomal RNA (301 nucleotides) under uncultured bacterium. RNAcentral describes it as "partial 16S ribosomal RNA". It matches the Rfam family "Archaeal small subunit ribosomal RNA", at positions 459 to 759 of the family's 1478-position model. The record is from RNAcentral.
CAGUCGCCGCGGUAAUACCAGCAGCCCAAGUGGUGGUCGCGAUUAUUGGGCCUAAAGCGCUCGUAGCCGGGCCGGUAAGUCCCUUGUGAAAUCGGACGGCCUAACCGUUCGGCGUGCAAGGGAUACUGUCGGUCUUGAGGCCGGGAGACGUCCGAGGUACUCCGGGGGUAGCGGUGAAAUGUUCUGAUCCUCGGGGGACCACCGGUGGCGAAGGCGUUCGACGAGAACGGGCCUGACGGUGAGGGGCGAAGGCUAGGGGAGCAAACGGGAUUAGAUACCCCGGUAGUCCCUGUCUCUUAUA